AUUGAACGCUGGCGGCAGGCCUAACACAUGCAAGUCGAGCGGAUGAAGGGAGCUUGCUCCUGGAUUCAGCGGCGGACGGGUGAGUAAUGCCUAGGAAUCUGCCUGGUAGUGGGGGAUAACGUCCGGAAACGGGCGCUAAUACCGCAUACGUACUGAGGGAGAAAGUGGGGGAUCUUCGGACCUCACGCUAUCAGAUGAGCCUAGGUCGGAUUAGCUAGUUGGUGGGGUAAAGGCCUACCAAGGCGACGAUCCGUAACUGGUCUGAGAGGAUGAUCAGUCACACUGGAACUGAGACACGGUCCAGACUCCUACGGGAGGCAGCAGUGGGGAAUAUUGGACAAUGGGCGAAAGCCUGAUCCAGCCAUGCCGCGUGUGGGAAGAAGGUCUUCGGAUUGUAAAGCACUUUAAGUUGGGAGGAAGGGCAGUAAGUUAAUACCUUGCUGUUUUGACGUUACCAACAGAAUAAGCACCGGCUAACUUCGUG
RNAcentral lists this ribosomal RNA (484 nucleotides) under uncultured bacterium. RNAcentral describes it as "partial 16S ribosomal RNA". It matches the Rfam family "Bacterial small subunit ribosomal RNA", at positions 30 to 507 of the family's 1533-position model. The record is from RNAcentral.